Long non-coding RNA from Homo sapiens (human), 1394 nucleotides. Ensembl annotates it as HAS2 antisense RNA 1. Its record names the gene HAS2-AS1. NCBI's taxonomy places the organism in Eukaryota, Metazoa, Chordata, Mammalia, Primates, Hominidae. The record is from Ensembl.
GAGGGAGUUGGAAAGAGAUAAGAGAGAGACCUUGGGGAACAAUUUUAAAGUGGCUCAAUAGCGAUCGCAGAGCCAAACUCAUACCUACAUCAAUGUGGUGCAGAGAAUCUCUAAGAAUUUUUAAUGCUGAAUUGGAGCAAAGAAACUUCAAGGAGGAAGCAAAGUGAAGAACACAGAUUUCACAGAUGGGAUGCCUGGCUCAAAUUCCAGCUUGACCGCUGGUAGCUGUGUGACCCUCGGCAAGUUACUUGACCUCUCUCUACUCAGUGUCCUCAUCUGUCAGUGUAAUAUGAAUCAGAAAACAUGAACUCAGACUGAUGCUGGAAGCCACCUUAUGACUAUAAGCAGAAUCAGCCUCGUUAUGACGUUGAUGCUAUAAGCAACGGACUGAAAGAUACAAAGAGCAAGCAGACAGGAUGAUUUUGGUAUCUGACUGAUGCUGUCUUCGUGGAAUGAGUUAGGAAAGAGUCCCUCCUCGUCAACUGUUGGGAAUACAUUCAGCAGGGUUGGUAUCAUUGCAUGUCUGGCAGAAUUUGACUAGGAAUCCAUCUGGUCCAGGAUUUUUUUUGUUGACACUGCUCAAGGAAAGAGAUGAAUAAUGGUGUAAUGAGAUUCACUGAAGAAUUCUCAGAGUGGAAUGAGCAACAGAUUUUCAUUAGCGAAAGCUCCUCUAGCUGCUGCAUGAAAUGAUGUCUAGACAGAGCCAUUUUUAGAUCUUCCAUUGGAUUGGGAACGUGAAAAUGGCACAGAAAGAGAAAGAACAUGCCAAGAAGUGGGGGCACUCAGGCACUUGCAUCAGCUGCCUUGCAACAGUGAAUGAUAAAGAAAAUACUAUCAUAAAAGGGAUACAAUACAUGGUCCGUGACUGCAAAACCAUAUUAAAGUUCCUGUUCAUUGACGUCAUGGUUCACAUAUGGUGCAUAUGUAUAAUUGGAAAUCUCAGAAUUGCAUUUUCAUGAAAGAAGAUGAAGAUACCAAAUGCCUUACUAAGAGUAUUUAUUUGUUUGUCAGUUAUUUGCAUGGAAAUGUGGUAAAGAGAGAGCAAUGCCUGGGACUGGGUGUUAGCAUUAGUAAGUCAGAGAAAAACCUUCUUUGUAAGAAGUUAUAUACGAAGUUGUCAACUUUAAUUUAGCAUAAAUUAAUAACUGAAGACUGAAACAAAACACAGAUGGCAUAGAGUCAAUCUGGAGUCUUCUAGAAUCCUUUAUUAAAAGAAAAAACCCAUGAGAGAAAAGUAAAGAUUGGAGGUCUCAAAUCACAGUAAUUGUAUUACUCAAAUCACAAAUUCCUCCUUAACUCGACACUUAACUCGAUGGAAUUUUCAUGAUGUCAAAGCAUGUAGAUAGUUGGAUAAUUAGAAAUGAGAAUAAAGAACAGCUUAAUGAAUAACAGAA